CCGAGUCUCGAACUCACCAAACCCCUGUGAACAUACCAGUGUUGCUUCGGCGGUCGACCCCGCCGCCUCCCCCUCGCCGGGGCGGCGCGGGGUUCCGCCAGAGGACCCUACAAAACCCUCUGUUUUCUUAGAAAGGAUUCCGCUCUGAGUAACAAAAAACAAACCAUUA
This 169-nucleotide unclassified non-coding RNA is filed under the name uncultured Campylocarpon. RNAcentral's name for it is "sequence contains ITS1". Lineage: Eukaryota; Fungi; Ascomycota; Sordariomycetes; Hypocreales; Nectriaceae. The record is from RNAcentral.